UAGUUUGACUGGGGCGGUCUCCUCCCAAAGAGUAACGGAGGAGCACGAAGGUUGGCUAAUCCUGGUCGGACAUCAGGAGGUUAGUGCAAUGGCAUAAGCCAGCUUAACUGCGAGACGGACAGGUCGAGCAGGUACGAAAGUAGGUCAUAGUGAUCCGGUGGUUCUGAAUGGAAGGGCCAUCGCUCAACGGAUAAAAGGUACUCCGGGGAUAACAGGCUGAUACCGCCCAAGAGUUCAUAUCGACGGCGGUGUUUGGCACCUCGAUGUCGGCUCAUCACAUCCUGGGGCUGAAGUCGGUCCCAAGGGUAUGGCUGUUCGCCAUUUAAAGUGGUACGCGAGCUGGGUUCAGAACGUCGUGAGACAGUUCGGUCCCUAUCUGCCGUGGGCGUUGGAUGAUUGAAGGGAGUUGCUCCUAGUACGAGAGGACCGGAGUGAACGAACCUCUGGUGUUCGGGUUGUCACGCCAGUGGCACUGCCCGGUAGCUAAGUUCGGAAUCGAUAACCGCUGAAAGCAUCUAAGCGGGAAGCGAGCCCUGAGAUGAGUCAUCCCUGACCCCUUGAGGGUCCUAAAGGGCCGUUGGAGACCACAACGUUGAUAGGUGGGGUGUGUAAGCGCGGCGACGUGUUGAGCUAACCCAUACUAAUUACCCGUGAGGCUUAACCAU
Molecule: ribosomal RNA, 665 nt
Filed under: Aeromonas hydrophila
Lineage: Bacteria; Pseudomonadati; Pseudomonadota; Gammaproteobacteria; Aeromonadales; Aeromonadaceae
Description: partial 23S ribosomal RNA
Rfam family: Bacterial large subunit ribosomal RNA
Source: RNAcentral